RNAcentral lists this ribosomal RNA (1491 nucleotides) under Cutibacterium acnes. RNAcentral describes it as "partial 16S ribosomal RNA". It matches the Rfam family "Bacterial small subunit ribosomal RNA". The record is from RNAcentral. Lineage: Bacteria; Bacillati; Actinomycetota; Actinomycetes; Propionibacteriales; Propionibacteriaceae.
GCUCAGGACGAACGCUGGCGGCGUGCUUAACACAUGCAAGUCGAACGGAAAGGCCCUGCUUUUGUGGGGUGCUCGAGUGGCGAACGGGUGAGUAACACGUGAGUAACCUGCCCUUGACUUUGGGAUAACUUCAGGAAACUGGGGCUAAUACCGGAUAGGAGCUCCUGCUGCAUGGUGGGGGUUGGAAAGUUUCGGCGGUUGGGGAUGGACUCGCGGCUUAUCAGCUUGUUGGUGGGGUAGUGGCUUACCAAGGCUUUGACGGGUAGCCGGCCUGAGAGGGUGACCGGCCACAUUGGGACUGAGAUACGGCCCAGACUCCUACGGGAGGCAGCAGUGGGGAAUAUUGCACAAUGGGCGGAAGCCUGAUGCAGCAACGCCGCGUGCGGGAUGACGGCCUUCGGGUUGUAAACCGCUUUCGCCUGUGACGAAGCGUGAGUGACGGUAAUGGGUAAAGAAGCACCGGCUAACUACGUGCCAGCAGCCGCGGUGAUACGUAGGGUGCGAGCGUUGUCCGGAUUUAUUGGGCGUAAAGGGCUCGUAGGUGGUUGAUCGCGUCGGAAGUGUAAUCUUGGGGCUUAACCCUGAGCGUGCUUUCGAUACGGGUUGACUUGAGGAAGGUAGGGGAGAAUGGAAUUCCUGGUGGAGCGGUGGAAUGCGCAGAUAUCAGGAGGAACACCAGUGGCGAAGGCGGUUCUCUGGGCCUUUCCUGACGCUGAGGAGCGAAAGCGUGGGGAGCGAACAGGCUUAGAUACCCUGGUAGUCCACGCUGUAAACGGUGGGUACUAGGUGUGGGGUCCAUUCCACGGGUUCCGUGCCGUAGCUAACGCUUUAAGUACCCCGCCUGGGGAGUACGGCCGCAAGGCUAAAACUCAAAGGAAUUGACGGGGCCCCGCACAAGCGGCGGAGCAUGCGGAUUAAUUCGAUGCAACGCGUAGAACCUUACCUGGGUUUGACAUGGAUCGGGAGUGCUCAGAGAUGGGUGUGCCUCUUUUGGGGUCGGUUCACAGGUGGUGCAUGGCUGUCGUCAGCUCGUGUCGUGAGAUGUUGGGUUAAGUCCCGCAACGAGCGCAACCCUUGUUCACUGUUGCCAGCACGUUAUGGUGGGGACUCAGUGGAGACCGCCGGGGUCAACUCGGAGGAAGGUGGGGAUGACGUCAAGUCAUCAUGCCCCUUAUGUCCAGGGCUUCACGCAUGCUACAAUGGCUGGUACAGAGAGUGGCGAGCCUGUGAGGGUGAGCGAAUCUCGGAAAGCCGGUCUCAGUUCGGAUUGGGGUCUGCAACUCGACCUCAUGAAGUCGGAGUCGCUAGUAAUCGCAGAUCAGCAACGCUGCGGUGAAUACGUUCCCGGGGCUUGUACACACCGCCCGUCAAGUCAUGAAAGUUGGUAACACCCGAAGCCGGUGGCCUAACCGUUGUGGGGGAGCCGUCGAAGGUGGGACUGGUGAUUAGGACUAAGUCGUAACAAGGUAGCCGUACCGGAAGGUGCGGUUG